AGAUGGCGACCGGCGCACGGGUGAGUAACACGUAUCCAACCUGCCGAUAACUCGGGGGUAGCCUUUCGAAAGAAAGAUUAAUACCCGAUGGUAUAAUCAGACCGCAUGGUCUUGUUAUUAAAGAAUUUCGGUUAUCGAUGGGGAUGCGUUCCAUUAGGCAGUUGGUGAGGUAACGGCUCACCAAACCUUCGAUGGAUAGGGGUUCUGAGAGGAAGGUCCCCCACAUUGGAACUGAGACACGGUCCAA
This 247-nucleotide ribosomal RNA is filed under the name uncultured bacterium. Its description in RNAcentral is "partial 16S ribosomal RNA". It matches the Rfam family "Bacterial small subunit ribosomal RNA", at positions 86 to 334 of the family's 1533-position model. The record is from RNAcentral.